RNAcentral lists this unclassified non-coding RNA (352 nucleotides) under soil metagenome. RNAcentral's name for it is "partial contains 5.8S ribosomal RNA, internal transcribed spacer 2, and large subunit ribosomal RNA". The stretch from base 1 to 120 matches the Rfam family "5.8S ribosomal RNA", at positions 35 to 154 of the family's 154-position model. The record is from RNAcentral.
GAUGAAGAACGCAGCGAAAUGCGAUAAGUAAUGUGAAUUGCAGAAUUCAGUGAAUCAUCGAAUCUUUGAACGCACAUUGCGCCCCCUGGUAUUCCGGGGGGCAUGCCUGUUCGAGCGUCAUUACAACCCUCAGGCCCCCGGGCCUGGCGUUGGGGAUCGGCGGAGCCCCCCGUGGGCACACGCCGUCCCCCAAAUGCAGUGGCGGUCCCGCCGCAGCUUCCAUCGCGUAGUAGCUAACACCUCGCGACUGGAGAGCGGCGCGGCCACGCCGUAAAACACCCAACUCUUCUGAAGUUGACCUCGAAUCAGGUAGGAAUACCCGCUGAACUUAAGCAUAUCAAUAAGCGGAGGA